RNAcentral lists this ribosomal RNA (26 nucleotides) under Streptococcus pneumoniae GA16242. The record is from RNAcentral. Lineage: Bacteria; Bacillati; Bacillota; Bacilli; Lactobacillales; Streptococcaceae.
CUGGUUAAAGCUAAAAGGGUCCAUCC